This 85-nucleotide transfer RNA is filed under the name Felis catus (domestic cat). It matches the Rfam family "tRNA". From Rfam's summary of the family: Transfer RNA (tRNA) molecules are approximately 80 nucleotides in length. The record is from Rfam by way of RNAcentral. Lineage: Eukaryota; Metazoa; Chordata; Mammalia; Carnivora; Felidae.
GCCUGAGUGGCUCAGUCAGUUAAGUGUCUGAUUUCCACUCAGGUCAUGAUCUCAUGGUUCAUGGGUUCAAGCCCCACAUCAGGCU